GUCCACGUUAUGGCUGAGGACAGGGAUACUGUCACUUCCCAGGGGUUUCUCAAACCCGUCCACUUGCUUGGAUCACCUACUUAUUCCGACAUUUUCAUUUAACCUUUAUAUGUUCCUGGGACUUUAUUUAUUCAGGGUGUAUAACCUCAGCUCAUGGGAUGUUUUUGCCCAAAGCAGGACAGAGAUAACCAUUUCUCUCAGAAAUAAAUCUUUGUGAGCUUUGUACCACAGUUUAGUGUAUUUACAAGUCUUUGAGGUAAACUUUCAAUCAGAAUAUGGCAAGUAAGGUCAUCUUGAGGCCCAGUGACACUGUUGCUAUUAUUACAUCACUCAGUUAUCCAGUUCAGAGGAUGGGAAAGCCCUAAAGGUGGUGACCAGGGGCCUCCAUGCAAUGCUUAGGUGGUGUUAACUCAGGACAGUUAAAUAACCCAUCAGUUUGGGGCAGGAAAAAUGGAAAUUAAAUUAAUUGAUCUGUUCACUCAAAAAAUUGGUCCUGAGAGCUGCAAGGAGUUUUCUCCUUAGAGAAAAGAAAGUCUGUUCCCAAUAUUGAGACAAGAAUUUAUCUGAGACAUAAUAGUCUUUCUUAGAGGGUGACGGACAGAGUUUACUUACCCAAACUGUUUUGAUUAUGUUUUCUAAGCGUAACAGUGUAUAAAAAUUUGGAAGAAGACUUCAAGUACAGCAUUAUAGAGGAUGAUGAUGAUGAUAGCAGUAAUAAUAAUAGUCACGUAUAUCCCUGAAUAUAUGCAUCUUUGCAAUGUGAAUUUGCUACUCCUCCUGCGAAGACUUAGAGUCUCUUUCUCUACCCACUUGAAUCUGACUGGGCUGUGGCUUUCUUUGACCAGUAGAAUGGCCUGGGCUAGUCUCCUUGAGGAUGAGAGACCACGUGGAGCAGAGACAUGAACCACCCAGCCUGCCUGUAGCCCAUCAGUGUGAAGGAGGCCACCUGGGACCUCCAGCUCCAGCUGACGCACCAGCUGCCUGCAGACCCACUGACUUGUAAACAAUAAAAUUGUUAUUGUAAGCCUUCAAUUUGAGUGUCCUUUACUGAAGCAAUAGAUAACGGUUAUAUAUAGUCUCACCCUAAUACACACAUACACGUUUUAAAAUGUAAAUAUAUCUCUGGGCGAUGGGAUUAUGCG
This 1142-nucleotide long non-coding RNA is filed under the name Equus caballus (horse). Its description in RNAcentral is "lncRNA (ENSECAG00000045861.1)". Lineage: Eukaryota; Metazoa; Chordata; Mammalia; Perissodactyla; Equidae. The record is from RNAcentral.